RNAcentral lists this ribosomal RNA (253 nucleotides) under uncultured bacterium. RNAcentral's name for it is "partial 16S ribosomal RNA". It matches the Rfam family "Bacterial small subunit ribosomal RNA", at positions 524 to 776 of the family's 1533-position model. The record is from RNAcentral.
UACGUAGGGGGCGAGCGUUGUCCGGAGUUACUGGGCGUAAAGGGCAUGCAGGCGGUCGGACGCGUUUUGUGUGACAGCGGGUGGCUCAACUAUCCGAGCAUACAAAAGACGGUCUGACUUGAGGACUCGAGAGGGACACGGAAUUCCGGGUGGAGUGGUGAAAUGCGUAGAGAUCCGGAGGAACACCGAAGGCGAAGGCAGUGUCCUGGCGAGUGACUGACGCUGAGGUGCGAAAGCCAGGGGAGCGAACGGG